RNAcentral lists this long non-coding RNA (858 nucleotides) under Chinchilla lanigera (long-tailed chinchilla). Its description in RNAcentral is "lncRNA (ENSCLAG00000026095.1)". Lineage: Eukaryota; Metazoa; Chordata; Mammalia; Rodentia; Chinchillidae. The record is from RNAcentral.
GAAAACUCCUUAAACCGGUUACUGUCUCUGCACACUCUGUAACACCAUUUUUACCUCUCACGAUUGCUGGUUUCACACUGGGACGGAAGGCAUGGCAGGUGGACCAUAGGACACAAAUUGCACCCAGUUCUGGCCCAGGGGAGAAGAGCCUAUGAACAGCGAGUUUUCGCUCCCUAAGAAGCUGCCGGGUUGGAACGCAGAGGCACAGAAUGUAGAUGGCGGCCCCUACCAAGCCAGCACUAGGGAUCUCAGCAGGCUGCGCUGUGACACUUGUGCCCGAGGCAGACACAGAUGACUGAGGAGCGCCUGAGCAACAGCCAUUGGCAAGGGCGGAUGUGAAGUUCGUUUCCCAUCUGCACUAGAGAGGGCAGCCCUGUCUCUCCCACACCCAGUGCACGCAGAAGCAGCACCUCAAUUUUCUCCUUCUUAUGGCCCCCAUUUUAGCUCUGUCCCUGGACAUCAUAACAAUAAUUCUGGAAAAAAUCAUCUGAGAUGGUAAUGUUUAAAAUCUGCUUACACAUUAGAGUAACUUGGAGAGAUUUAAAAAGGAUGCCAACAUGGUCUUUCUGCCUGGCACUUGGUGUGUUUUAAAAAAGCUCACCAGUUAAUUCUAAGGUACAACCAUUGAUCCAAGGAGGCAGAGCUUUUUUUGGUAGGUAAUAGGUAGCCGGUAAUACUUAUGUGUAAAGGAAAGGGUGAGAAAGAAGAACCUGAUGACAUCUUGCGGAGUACCUUAUAGAAGGGAGAGAUCACGGGUAAAACCCACGGACCAGCAAUCUCAUCCGCACUCCAAGGCGUUGCAGGUACAAUGACUGCACUGAAAAUCUUUCUUUAACUCCUAUUAAGUGUUUUGUUUAA